GGAUGUUGUCCAGGUCCUGUUGCUUGCGGAACUCCAUGUGCUGUGGAGACACGGCUGGACUUGCAGACUGCCUGCCCCAGAAGUCACAGGCCACGCCCCUCUGCCCACGGACACCAGGAUCCUACCAGAGCCACCCCAGGUCAAAGUUCCGGGCUGCAAGAAGAAGGCGUGGGAGUGAACCAGUGACCCCUGAAGUAGAAGCUCUAAGUCUAACCAUUGGACCACCAGGGAAUUCCCUAGGUUUUCUGAUGUUGAACUCUUCUUGCAUACCCAAGAUAAACUCUCCUUGAUACUGUUGCAUGAUUUUAAUACCUUCUUGGAUUCUGUUAUGUAAUAUUUUAUUUAGACUUCUUGAAAAGCAGAGAUAUUACUUUGCCAAUAAAGGUCCGUCUAGUCAAGGCUAUGGUUUUUCCUGUGGUCAUGUAUGGA
Bubalus bubalis (water buffalo) is the source of this 429-nucleotide long non-coding RNA. RefSeq lists it as uncharacterized. NCBI's taxonomy places the organism in Eukaryota, Metazoa, Chordata, Mammalia, Artiodactyla, Bovidae. The record is from RefSeq and is a predicted model, not a curated record. The transcript has 3 exons.